This 1638-nucleotide ribosomal RNA is filed under the name Klebsiella pneumoniae. Its description in RNAcentral is "bacterial LSU rRNA". It matches the Rfam family "Bacterial large subunit ribosomal RNA", at positions 1308 to 2925 of the family's 2925-position model. Lineage: Bacteria; Pseudomonadati; Pseudomonadota; Gammaproteobacteria; Enterobacterales; Enterobacteriaceae. The record is from RNAcentral.
AACGAUAAAGCGGGUGAAAAGCCCGCUCGCCGGAAGACCAAGGGUUCCUGUCCAACGUUAAUCGGGGCAGGGUGAGUCGACCCCUAAGGCGAGGCCGAAAGGCGUAGUCGAUGGGAAACAGGUUAAUAUUCCUGUACUUGGUGUUACUGCGAAGGGGGGACGGAGAAGGCUAUGUUAGCCGGGCGACGGUUGUCCCGGUUUAAGCAUGUAGGCUGAUUGUCCAGGCAAAUCCGGAUAAUCAAGGCUGAGGUGUGAUGACGAGGCACUACGGUGCUGAAGUAACAAAUGCCCUGCUUCCAGGAAAAGCCUCUAAGCAUCAGGUAACAUUAAAUCGUACCCCAAACCGACACAGGUGGUCAGGUAGAGAAUACCAAGGCGCUUGAGAGAACUCGGGUGAAGGAACUAGGCAAAAUGGUGCCGUAACUUCGGGAGAAGGCACGCUGGUGUGUAGGUGAAGUCCCUGCGGAUGGAGCUGAGACCAGUCGAAGAUACCAGCUGGCUGCAACUGUUUAUUAAAAACACAGCACUGUGCAAACACGAAAGUGGACGUAUACGGUGUGACGCCUGCCCGGUGCCGGAAGGUUAAUUGAUGGGGUUAUCCGUAAGGAGAAGCUCUUGAUCGAAGCCCCGGUAAACGGCGGCCGUAACUAUAACGGUCCUAAGGUAGCGAAAUUCCUUGUCGGGUAAGUUCCGACCUGCACGAAUGGCGUAAUGAUGGCCAGGCUGUCUCCACCCGAGACUCAGUGAAAUUGAACUCGCUGUGAAGAUGCAGUGUACCCGCGGCAAGACGGAAAGACCCCGUGAACCUUUACUAUAGCUUGACACUGAACAUUGAGCCUUGAUGUGUAGGAUAGGUGGGAGGCUUUGAAGCGUGGACGCCAGUCUGCGUGGAGCCAACCUUGAAAUACCACCCUUUAAUGUUUGAUGUUCUAACGUUGGCCCCUGACCGGGGUUGCGGACAGUGUCUGGUGGGUAGUUUGACUGGGGCGGUCUCCUCCCAAAGCGUAACGGAGGAGCACGAAGGUUAGCUAAUCCUGGUCGGACAUCAGGAGGUUAGUGCAAUGGCAUAAGCUAGCUUGACUGCGAGCGUGACGGCGCGAGCAGGUGCGAAAGCAGGUCAUAGUGAUCCGGUGGUUCUGAAUGGAAGGGCCAUCGCUCAACGGAUAAAAGGUACUCCGGGGAUAACAGGCUGAUACCGCCCAAGAGUUCAUAUCGACGGCGGUGUUUGGCACCUCGAUGUCGGCUCAUCACAUCCUGGGGCUGAAGUAGGUCCCAAGGGUAUGGCUGUUCGCCAUUUAAAGUGGUACGCGAGCUGGGUUUAGAACGUCGUGAGACAGUUCGGUCCCUAUCUGCCGUGGGCGCUGGAGAAUUGAGGGGGGCUGCUCCUAGUACGAGAGGACCGGAGUGGACGCAUCACUGGUGUUCGGGUUGUCAUGCCAAUGGCACUGCCCGGUAGCUAAAUGCGGAAGAGAUAAGUGCUGAAAGCAUCUAAGCACGAAACUUGCCCCGAGAUGAGUUCUCCCUGAGACUUUAAGUCUCCUGAAGGAACGUUAAAGACGAUGACGUUGAUAGGCCGGGUGUGUAAGCGCAGCGAUGCGUUGAGCUAACCGGUACUAAUGAACCGUGAGGCUUAACCUU